RNAcentral lists this ribosomal RNA (574 nucleotides) under uncultured bacterium. RNAcentral describes it as "bacterial SSU rRNA". It matches the Rfam family "Bacterial small subunit ribosomal RNA", at positions 338 to 915 of the family's 1533-position model. The record is from RNAcentral.
CCUACGGGAGGCAGCAGUAGGGAAUAUUGGGCAAUGGGCGAGAGCCUGACCCAGCCAUGCCGCGUGCCGGAUGAAGGCCUUCUGGGUUGUAAACGGCUUUUCUCAGGGAAGAAAAAGCCCAUACGUGGGACACUGACGGUACCUGAGGAAUAAGCACCGGCUAACUCCGUGCCAGCAGCCGCGGUAAUACGGAGGGUGCAAGCGUUGUCCGGAUUUAUUGGGUUUAAAGGGUGCGUAGGCGGCCCGUUAAGUCCGGGGUGAAAGCCCACAGCUCAACUGUGGAACUGCCCUGGAUACUGGCGGGCUUGAGUCCAGACGAGGUUGGCGGAAUGGAUGGUGUAGCGGUGAAAUGCAUAGAUACCAUCCAGAACCCCGAUUGCGUAGGCAGCUGACUAGGCUGGUACUGACGCUGAGGCACGAAAGCGUGGGGAGCGAACAGGAUUAGAUACCCUGGUAGUCCACGCCGUAAACGAUGGAUACUCGCUGGUGGCGAUAGACAGUCACUGGCUUAGCGAAAGCGGUAAGUAUCCACCUGGGGAGUACGCUCGCAGAGUGAAACUCAAAGGAAUUGAGG